AAGUCGUAACAAGGUUUCCGUAGGUGAACCUGCGGAAGGAUCAUUAGUGAAUUUGUUUUGUGGUUGGGUAUCUUGCUAAAUUUUUACAAGAUAUCCACCCAAACACCCCCACUAUUAUCACGCCGGCUGGGAGGGAGGAAUCUCUUUUGGUCGAGAGCCUAGUAAGCUCGGAAAUUUUGAAGGUUUUAGGGAACUCUGUUCUUUAACCUUUUUUUUUUUAGAACCAUAUAGUCAUGUAUGUUAAGUAGUAUUCUUAAAACAAAUACAACUUUCAGCAACGGAUCUCUUGGCUCUC
Molecule: unclassified non-coding RNA, 295 nt
Filed under: fungal sp.
Lineage: Eukaryota; Fungi
Description: partial internal transcribed spacer region
Rfam family: Eukaryotic small subunit ribosomal RNA (bases 1-46)
Source: RNAcentral